GAGAGAGAGAUAAAUGGUGAAGGCGUCUGAGUUUUCUGAAGGCCAAGAUGAAGAGGAAGAUGAGGCUAGAACUGGAGAGUCUGAUCCAGGCUUCAAAAUCGCGUCGAUGAUUUACCAGAGAAUUAUAUAUAUGUAUCCAAUGCUACACAAAUUGGAAGCUAACAAUGGUAGUGGGAUCAUGAAGCCUCUAAACAUAUCCAAAUCUUCAAUCUGCUCAAUUAACGGAAACCCUGCUGAUUUUAACAUGCCGGAAGUAGGAAACCGGUACAUGAUUAGAGGUGAAGACCUAAAAUUUGGGAAGCGGAUUCCUUUUUCAAGAAGGCGUGGCUUAGUUAAAGUGGAUCAGCACAAGUGGCAGAGAAAUAUGAAAGCCCUCUACCAAAAAGGAAACGUAUACCAAAAAGAAAACGUAACAGAAACCCUCCUCAUUGAAUUUGAGGAGGGAAAAUUUUUCCAAGAAAAGGCACGUGAAGUAGAUGAAGAGUCAAAUGAAAUGAUUCUUAGAACAAGGUUAUUAGCAUCCUUUUCGUUGAAAUUUUUAUGAAAUGUUGAGACACAAGGAGAAAUAGUGCUCAACUUGCAUGGAAAAUGUUUUCAAGAAAAGACAAGUGAAGUAGAUAAGGAGUCAAAUGAAAUGAUUCUUAGAACGAGGUUAGCAUCCUUUUCGUUGAAGUUUUGUGUCGUGUGUUUCUACUCUUUGUGGACAUUGAUUAAUGGUGGUGUAUAGAGUUCCACAAUGUUAAUUAAUUUUUUUCUUUUAUUGUGUUCCUCGUUAGAAAUGUUGAGACACAAGGAGAAAUAGUGCUUGACUAUUGCAUGGACAUUUUUUUUUUCUAAGAAAAGGCAUGUGAAGCAGAUAAGGAUUCGAAUGAAAUGACUCUUAAGACGAGGUGGAAUAGAUACCAGUGCAACUACAAUGACAUGGGCGAUGGCAGAAUUAGCUAGGAAACAAAAACUGAUGAAGACAGCCCAAGAAGGUAGAAGAUGCAUUGGAAACACAAAGGAAAAAUCAGUGAACAAGAUACAGAUGAGCUUCAAUACGUCAAGAUGAUAAUCAAAGAGACUCGAUUGCAUACUCUAGCUCCAAUGAUUAUUCCAAGAGAAACCAUGUCUCAUUUCAAAAUCCAAGAUUCUGAUAUUGACCCCAAAACACUUGUCUUUGUCAAUGGCUGGGCAAUUUGCACGAGACCUUGAGUCUUGGAAGGACUCAGAAAAAUUUAUCCCAGAAAGGUUUGAUGGCAGCUCCAUUGAUUAUAAAGGACAGAAUUUUGAGUUUUUACUAUUUGGAGCUGGUCGAAGAAUUUGUCCUGGGAUGUACAUGGGAAUAACAACACUACAGCCUGGACUUGCAAAUCUUCUCUACUGGUUUGAUUGGAAAUUGCUUAAUGGGAUGAAGGAGGAAGAUAUCGAUAUGGAAGAAAAUAAGGUGUAUCAUGGGUAUUUUUGGUAGUUAAAUAUGACGUAUUUAGUUAAUUUUAUAUUUGAUCUACAUAUUAGGGUAUACUUAGAUCAUAAGGUAUACUCAAUUAAUUUUAGGAUUCGUUUAACACCAUCUUAAUUUUUUAAAUUUUUUUUAUUGUGUUCCUCCAUAAAUUUUAAGACACAAGGAGAAAUAGUGUUUGACUUGCUUGGACACGGUGCCAAG
RNA transcript from Prunus persica (peach), 1645 nucleotides. RefSeq lists it as uncharacterized. The transcript has 5 exons. Lineage: Eukaryota; Viridiplantae; Streptophyta; Magnoliopsida; Rosales; Rosaceae. The record is from RefSeq and is a predicted model, not a curated record.